This 465-nucleotide ribosomal RNA is filed under the name uncultured bacterium. Its description in RNAcentral is "partial 16S ribosomal RNA". It matches the Rfam family "Bacterial small subunit ribosomal RNA", at positions 28 to 507 of the family's 1533-position model. The record is from RNAcentral.
GACGAAUGCUGGCGGCGUGCUUAACACAUGCAAGUCGAACGGAAAGGCCCCUUUGGGGGUACUCGAGUGGCGAACGGGUGAGUAACACGUGAGUAACCUGCCCUUGACUUCGGGAUAACUUCAGGAAACUGGGGCUAAUACCGGAUAGGAAUCCUUGCUGCAUGGUGGGGGUUGGAAAGCUUCGGCGGUUUUGGAUGGACUCGCGGCUUAUCAGCUUGUUGGUGGGGUAGUGGCUUACCAAGGCUUUGACGGGUAGCCGGCCUGAGAGGGCGACCGGCCACAUUGGGACUGAGAUACGGCCCAGACUCCUACGGGAGGCAGCAGUGGGGAAUAUUGCACAAUGGGCGGAAGCCUGAUGCAGCAACGCCGCGUGCGGGAUGACGGCCUUCGGGUUGUAAACCGCGUUCAGCAGGGGCGAAGCUUGUGGUGACGGUACCUGCAGAAGAAGCACCGGCUAACUACGUG